RNAcentral lists this ribosomal RNA (396 nucleotides) under Triticum aestivum (bread wheat). RNAcentral describes it as "partial small subunit ribosomal RNA". Lineage: Eukaryota; Viridiplantae; Streptophyta; Magnoliopsida; Poales; Poaceae. The record is from RNAcentral.
AUGAAGCUAAAGGAAAAGAAAGACUUCGAUCUCGUUAUUCAGAGCAGUUUAUUGGAACAUAAGUACAUCGUUUUAUUCCAAAACCAGUGUGAAUCUGAUCAAUUUUUUGAGGAAGCAAAAGAGUUGGGGAAUAUGGUGCAUGAGGUGAUACUGAAACCUGUUUAUCUGCAGCACGAAGAUAUCACAUCUGAGGAGAUGAAGCUAAAGGAAAAGAAAGACUUCGAUCUCGUUAUUCAGAGCAGUUUAUUGGAACAUAAGUACAUCGUUUUAUUCCAAAACCAGUGUGAAUCUGAUCAAUUUUUUGAGGAAGCAAAAGAGUUGGGGAAUAUGGUGCAUGAGGUGAUACUGAAACCUGUUUAUCUGCAGCACGAAGAUAUCACAUCUGAGGUGAGUUAA